Molecule: ribosomal RNA, 253 nt
Filed under: uncultured bacterium
Lineage: Bacteria
Description: partial 16S ribosomal RNA
Rfam family: Bacterial small subunit ribosomal RNA
Source: RNAcentral
UACGUAGGGUAGCAAGCGUUGUCCGGAUUAUUGGGCGUAAAGAGCUCGUAGGCGGUCUGUUGCGUCGGCUGUGAAAACCCGGGGCUCAACUCCGGGCCUGCAGCCGAUACGGGCAGACUAGAGUUCGGCAGGGGAGACUGGAAUUCCUGGUGUAGCGGUGAAAUGCGCAGAUAUCAGGAAGAACACCCGUGGCUAAGGCGGCUCUCUGGGCCGAUACUGACGCUGAGGAGCGAAAGCGUGGGGAGCGAACAGG